Molecule: transfer RNA, 71 nt
Filed under: Marmota monax (woodchuck)
Lineage: Eukaryota; Metazoa; Chordata; Mammalia; Rodentia; Sciuridae
Description: tRNA.Val
Source: RNAcentral
GAGGAUGUGGCUCAAUGAUAGAGUGCUCAUCUAACACGUGUGAGGCCCUGGGUUUGAUACUCAGCACCACA